GCCUCUUUAGCUUAGGGGUAGAGCGUUGCACUUGUAUUCCACAUACGAGUGAUGCAAAGGUCAGCGGUUCAAUUCCGCUAGGAGGCA
RNAcentral lists this transfer RNA (87 nucleotides) under Sugiyamaella lignohabitans. Its description in RNAcentral is "Candida lignohabitans tRNA". It matches the Rfam family "tRNA". Rfam says of the family: Transfer RNA (tRNA) molecules are approximately 80 nucleotides in length. The record is from Rfam by way of RNAcentral. Lineage: Eukaryota; Fungi; Ascomycota; Dipodascomycetes; Dipodascales; Trichomonascaceae.